RNAcentral lists this ribosomal RNA (728 nucleotides) under uncultured endophytic bacterium. Its description in RNAcentral is "bacterial SSU rRNA". It matches the Rfam family "Bacterial small subunit ribosomal RNA", at positions 771 to 1504 of the family's 1533-position model. The record is from RNAcentral.
AACCGGAUUAGAUACCCUGGUAGUCCACGCCCUAAACGAUGUCUACUAGUUGUCGGGUCUUAAUUGACUUGGUAACGCAGCUAACGCGUGAAGUAGACCGCCUGGGGAGUACGGUCGCAAGAUUAAAACUCAAAGGAAUUGACGGGGACCCGCACAAGCGGUGGAUGAUGUGGAUUAAUUCGAUGCAACGCGAAAAACCUUACCUACCCUUGACAUGUACAGAAUCCCGAAGAGAUUUGGGAGUGUUCGAAAGAAAACUGUAACACAGGUGCUGCAUGGCUGUCGUCAGCUCGUGUCGUGAGAUGUUGGGUUAAGUCCCGCAACGAGCGCAACCCUUGUCAUUAGUUGCUACGAAAGGGCACUCUAAUGAGACUGCCGGUGACAAACCGGAGGAAGGUGGGGAUGACGUCAAGUCCUCAUGGCCCUUAUGGGUAGGGCUUCACACGUCAUACAAUGGUACAUACAGAGGGCCGCCAACCCGCGAGGGGGAGCUAAUCCCAGAAAGUGUAUCGUAGUCCGGAUUGUAGUCUGCAACUCGACUACAUGAAGUUGGAAUCGCUAGUAAUCGCGGAUCAGCAUGUCGCGGUGAAUACGUUCCCGGGUCUUGUACACACCGCCCGUCACACCAUGGGAGCGGGUUUUACCAGAAGUAGGUAGCCUAACCGUAAGGAGGGCGCUUACCACGGUAGGAUUCGUGACUGGGGUGAAGUCGUAACAAGGUAGCCGUA